UAAAUGCUCCCUAAAGCCUCGAUGACACGAGGCGAGUUUACAAGCUGCUAGCGAACUCGCUGCCUUGUAACUUGUAAACUCGCCACGUGUCAUCGAGCUUUUUCACAAUCUGCUUUUGAUUAUCAGAUUGUAAAAACGCUGCUUGAAAAAUAGAAAGCCGGGCUAAUUUACUCGCCAUUCGCUGGCGUGUUGGCCUGUAAGCUAGUUAACUAGCCACGUGUCAUCAUCACUGCUAGUAAACUAGUUGCGAGCAUCUGCGUUUUGGCAGUUAAAGCUAAAAUGUCAACACGCUAGCUAGUUGGCUACUGAGCGAGUGGAAUGUUUUGUGUGUCAUCGACACUCGCUUACUCGCUCACUCGCUAGCUUUUAAACUCGCCGACUAGCAGCUCGUAAAUUAGCCCAGUGUCAUCGAGCCUUUAUCUUUCUUGAUUUUUUAA
Molecule: long non-coding RNA, 437 nt
Organism: Maniola jurtina (meadow brown)
Lineage: Eukaryota; Metazoa; Arthropoda; Insecta; Lepidoptera; Nymphalidae
Exons: 3
Source: RefSeq, a predicted model, not a curated record